RNAcentral lists this long non-coding RNA (355 nucleotides) under Capsicum annuum. RNAcentral's name for it is "long non-coding RNA (CANN_LNC011606)". The record is from RNAcentral. Lineage: Eukaryota; Viridiplantae; Streptophyta; Magnoliopsida; Solanales; Solanaceae.
CCAUGUUUCGCUGAGACCAAUGUUGAAAAUUUCCCAUUGUCAAAUUACCCUCCGACCAAUGUACGCUCCGACCAGCACCACCAGCACUCCAAUCACACUCCAUAAGCAUUCCAACCACACACCACCAGCACGCUCCGACCACACACCAUCAGUACGCUCCGACCACAUAUCACCACCAAUCGAUCAAGUGCUCCGACCAUAAAAUCGAGCACCAAUGCAUGCUCCGACCACCAGUACUCCGACCAGAAAUCAGCUUCUCCACUGCUCCGACAACCACUUCCAUUUCAGCUCUCAAAUUUGCACUUCAAUUUCUGAGCAAAUUUGGGGUUUUCUUCUUCAAUUUGGUGAUUUUAAG